UGAGCUUGAUCCUGGCUCAGGAUGAACGCUAGCGGCAGGCUUAACACAUGCAAGUCGAGGGGUAGAAGUCUUCGGACUUUGAGACCGGCGCACGGGUGCGUAACGCGUAUGCAAUCUACCUUUUACAGAGGGAUAGCCCAGAGAAAUUUGGAUUAAUACCUCAUAGUAUAAUGACUCGGCAUCGAGAUAUUAUUAAAGUCACAACGGUAAAAGAUGAGCAUGCGUCCCAUUAGCUAGUUGGUAAGGUAACGGCUUACCAAGGCUACGAUGGGUAGGGGUCCUGAGAGGGAGAUCCCCCACACUGGUACUGAGACACGGACCAGACUCCUACGGGAGGCAGCAGUGAGGAAUAUUGGACAAUGGGCGCAAGCCUGAUCCAGCCAUGCCGCGUGCAGGAUGACGGUCCUAGUGGAUUGUAAACUGCUUUUAUACGAGAAGAAACA
This 443-nucleotide ribosomal RNA is filed under the name Flavobacterium sp. 01WB01.1-20. Its description in RNAcentral is "bacterial SSU rRNA". It matches the Rfam family "Bacterial small subunit ribosomal RNA", at positions 1 to 452 of the family's 1533-position model. Lineage: Bacteria; Pseudomonadati; Bacteroidota; Flavobacteriia; Flavobacteriales; Flavobacteriaceae. The record is from RNAcentral.